AGCAGCAGCCGCGGGAAUACAGAGGGUGCAAGCGUUAAUCGGAUUUACUGGGCGUAAAGGGCGCGUAGGUGGUUAUUUAAGUGAGAUGUGAAAGCCCCGGGCUUAACCUGGGAACUGCAUCUUAUACUGGGUAACUGGAGUGCAGUAGAGGGUAGUGGAAUUUCCGGUGUAGCGGUGAAAUGCGUAGAUAUCGGAAGGAACACCAGUGGCGAAGGCGGCUACCUGGACUGAGACUGACACUGAGGCGCGAGAGCGUGGGGAGCAAACAGGAUUAGAUACCCCCGUAGUCCCUGUCUCUUAUAC
RNAcentral lists this ribosomal RNA (303 nucleotides) under uncultured bacterium. RNAcentral's name for it is "partial 16S ribosomal RNA". It matches the Rfam family "Bacterial small subunit ribosomal RNA", at positions 507 to 807 of the family's 1533-position model. The record is from RNAcentral.